Molecule: ribosomal RNA, 555 nt
Filed under: Charybdis bimaculata
Lineage: Eukaryota; Metazoa; Arthropoda; Malacostraca; Decapoda; Portunidae
Description: partial 16S ribosomal RNA
Rfam family: Archaeal large subunit ribosomal RNA
Source: RNAcentral
GGCUAUUAUGAGUUAUUUAUAGUCUAGCCUGCUCACUGAUAAAUUUUAUUAAAUAGCCGCGGUAUCUUGACCGUGCAAAGGUAGCAUAAUCAUUAGUUUCUUAAUUGGAAACUUGUAUGAAUGGUUGGACAAAAAAGAAACUGUCUCUUGUAUUACUAUUGAAUUUAACUUUUAAGUGAAAAGGCUUAAAUUAUCUAGAGGGACGACAAGACCCUAUAAAGCUUUAUAAAUUUGAUAAUUUUUUAAAUUUAUAUAUAAAAAUAAUUUUUGUAAAAUUUAUUUGGUUGGGGCGACAAUGGUAUAAUUAAGAUAACUGCUAUAAGAUUUAACAAAAAUAUUUGUUUAAUAAAUAUAAUUGAUCCUUUUUAAAGAUUUAAGAUCAAGUUACUUUAGGGAUAACAGCGUUAUUUUUCCUGAGAGUUCUUAUCAAAGGAAGAGUUUGCGACCUCGAUGUUGAAUUAAAAUGUCUUUAUAGUGCAGCAGCUAUAAAAGAAGGUCUGUUCGACCUUUAAUAUUUUACAUGAUUUGAGUUCAGACCGGCGAGAGCCAGGUCGG